UCAAAGAACAUAGAAAUGGUAUCAAGGCAGGCAGAAUUGUGAUGGCUCUAGCUGAACAAGCCUACCUUAAUGAUUUGCUUAUAGAAUGGGACCAUGCAGAGAUAAUAAAGAUGAUUAAGCUACCAACACAGGCAGUAACCCAAGAAACAAUAGAAAUUUUGAAAGCGAGAGACAACCAGAACCUAAUAAAUGACAAACCUUCGGCCGACUUACCAGCAGCUUGGAAAUACAUGUUAAGAGAUUUUAAAUGACUGCGCAAAACUUAACCUGCCUAAAAAAAAAGGAGGAGCCUUACGUACUUGGGAGUUAAAUG
Molecule: long non-coding RNA, 313 nt
Filed under: Androctonus crassicauda
Lineage: Eukaryota; Metazoa; Arthropoda; Arachnida; Scorpiones; Buthidae
Source: RNAcentral